UCAGUCGGCCGGACGGCCGCUCCGGCAAGCGCCGAAAGGCCGCCGGGGAGGAAAGUCCGGGCUCCAUCGACAUACGGUGCCGGAUAACGUCCGGCGGGGGCGACCCCAGGGAAAGUGCCACAGAGAACGAACCGCCCGCCUACGCCCCUUCGGGGCUUCGGUGCGACAAGCUCUCGAGCCUGCCGCGCCAUAGCAGCGCAAGCUGCGACGGCGGGUAAGGGUGAAAAGGUGCGGUAAGAGCGCACCGCGUCGCCGGCAACGGGGACGGCAUGGUAAACCCCACCGGGAGCAAAACCGAAUAGGGACGGCAUCGCGGAUAGUUUGCUGCUUGCAGCAAUAACUCCGCAGGGCGAUGUCAGGCUCGUCGUCCGGGUAGGUUGCUCGAGGCGCUGUGCAAACAGUGUCCCAGAGGAAUGGCCGUCGCGUAUCGCCUCCGCAAGGAAGCGGUGCCCUCCAGAACCCGGCUUACAGGCCGGCUGAUACU
This 484-nucleotide RNase P RNA is filed under the name Rhodopseudomonas palustris. Its description in RNAcentral is "RNase P RNA component class A". It matches the Rfam family "Bacterial RNase P class A". From Rfam's summary of the family: Ribonuclease P (RNase P) is a ubiquitous endoribonuclease, found in archaea, bacteria and eukarya as well as chloroplasts and mitochondria. Its best characterised activity is the generation of mature 5'-ends of tRNAs by cleaving the 5'-leader elements of precursor-tRNAs. Lineage: Bacteria; Pseudomonadati; Pseudomonadota; Alphaproteobacteria; Hyphomicrobiales; Nitrobacteraceae. The record is from RNAcentral.